Molecule: ribosomal RNA, 582 nt
Filed under: uncultured bacterium
Lineage: Bacteria
Description: bacterial SSU rRNA
Rfam family: Bacterial small subunit ribosomal RNA
Source: RNAcentral
AUGAACGCUGGCGGCAGGCUUAACACAUGCAAGUCGAGCGGUAACAUUUCUAGCUUGCUAGAAGAUGACGAGCGGCGGACGGGUGAGUAACGCGUAGGAAUCUGCCUAGUAGUGGGGGACAACAUGUGGAAACGCAUGCUAAUACCGCAUACGCCCUACGGGGGAAAGGAGGGGAUCUUCGGACCUUUCGCUAUUAGAUGAGCCUGCGUGAGAUUAGCUAGUUGGUGGGGUAAAGGCCUACCAAGGCGACGAUCUCUAGCUGGUCUGAGAGGAUGAUCAGCCACACUGGGACUGAGACACGGCCCAGACUCCUACGGGAGGCAGCAGUGGGGAAUAUUGGACAAUGGGCGCAAGCCUGAUCCAGCCAUGCCGCGUGUGUGAAGAAGGCCUUAGGGUUGUAAAGCACUUUCAGGAGUGAGGAAGGGCGUAUAGUUAAUACCUGUAUGUUUUGACGUUAACUCCAGAAGAAGCACCGGCUAACUCUGUGCCAGCAGCCGCGGUAAUACAGAGGGUGCGAGCGUUAAUCGGAAUUACUGCGCGUAAAGCGCGCGUANGCGGUUUGUUAAGUCGGAUGUGAAAUCC